RNAcentral lists this ribosomal RNA (398 nucleotides) under uncultured bacterium. Its description in RNAcentral is "partial 16S ribosomal RNA". It matches the Rfam family "Bacterial small subunit ribosomal RNA", at positions 523 to 918 of the family's 1533-position model. The record is from RNAcentral.
AUACGUAGGGUGCGAGCGUUGUCCGGAAUUACUGGGCGUAAAGAGCUCGUAGGUGGUUUGUCGCGUCGUCUGUGAAAUUCCGGGGCUUAACUCCGGGCGUGCAGGCGAUACGGGCAUAACUUGAGUACUGUAGGGGAGACUGGAAUUCCUGGUGUAGCGGUGAAAUGCGCAGAUAUCAGGAGGAACACCGGUGGCGAAGGCGGGUCUCUGGGCAGUAACUGACGCUGAGGAGCGAAAGCAUGGGUAGCGAACAGGAUUAGAUACCCUGGUAGUCCAUGCCGUAAACGGUGGGCGCUAGGUGUAGGGGUCUUCCACGACUUCUGUGCCGUAGCUAACGCAUUAAGCGCCCCGCCUAGGGAGUACGGCCGCAAGGCUAAAACUCAAAUGAAUUGACGGGG